UAUACACACACUGAUCAAUGUAUCAAAAGAUAAGACUAAUGCGAUAUGUAUCGGUCAGUCUUCUAACAUAUGUGUGAUUUUUCAAUUAUAAAAGGAAGCCAGCUUUAUGAUACAGCAAGACGUACACGCGUGCAUUUCUUGUUGAUUGGAAUAUAAUGACUACAAGCGACGUUCGGAUAAAGUAAGUAAGUAAGUUUGUUUUCAUUUAUGUAUAAUUUAAUUAUUUAUUUGACCAUUUGUUUUAAUAGACCACUUUCGAGUUCAUCCGUCACCGGAAAAAAACUCGUCAAUUAUACGCGCCUUUAUGACGUCAUUUACCAGAUAGAGGGGGUCGCCUGUAUCCCUGCACUAUUUACGUUCAUCAAGCGUCUUAGUGAUCGUCAUUGUGCAGGAUAAACUAGAAAUAAUGGAUGUUCUGUAGGUACUUAAUGACAAUUCCCUAAUGACAGCAAUGCUGAUUGUCAAUUUUGAGAAUUCAAUUUGCCGAAUAAUUCGUACAAUAUAGAAUUAUAGUUUCCAACCACUCGCUCAACAUUGGAAUGGAAGUGACGACGCCCCUAAACGCACAAAUGACGUUCACUAAAACCAGAGUUUUUGACGGAAAUGCAUCGAACUCGAAAGUUGUCUAUUGCAACGCAUAUUAUUCAUAUAUUUACUUUUGUUAUAAAAACUAAUAUAAUGACAUGACGCUCAAAUCUCGAGGUUCAAAUAUAUAUAAGUCGAUCUGAAU
RNAcentral lists this long non-coding RNA (730 nucleotides) under Mytilus galloprovincialis (Mediterranean mussel). Lineage: Eukaryota; Metazoa; Mollusca; Bivalvia; Mytilida; Mytilidae. The record is from RNAcentral.